Cebus imitator (Panamanian white-faced capuchin) is the source of this 285-nucleotide unclassified non-coding RNA. It matches the Rfam family "Metazoan signal recognition particle RNA". From Rfam's summary of the family: The signal recognition particle (SRP) is a universally conserved ribonucleoprotein. It is involved in the co-translational targeting of proteins to membranes. The record is from Ensembl. Lineage: Eukaryota; Metazoa; Chordata; Mammalia; Primates; Cebidae.
GCUGGGUGUGGUGGCUCACGCCUGUAAUCCUAGCACUUUGGGAGGCUGAAGCGGGUGGAUUGCUUGAGCUCAGGAGUUUGAGAUCAGCCUGGGCAACAUGGUGAGACUCUGUCUCUACUAAAACAAAUUUAAAAAUUAGCUGGGUGCGGUGGCACGCACCUGUAGUCCCAGCUACCUGGGAGACUGAGGCAGGAGGAUCCCUUGAGCCCAGGAGGUCAAGGAUGCAGUGAGUCCUGAUUGUGCCACUGCAUUCUAGCCUGGGCAACAGAGCAAGACCCUGUCUCA